This 440-nucleotide ribosomal RNA is filed under the name uncultured bacterium. RNAcentral's name for it is "partial 16S ribosomal RNA". It matches the Rfam family "Bacterial small subunit ribosomal RNA", at positions 339 to 795 of the family's 1533-position model. The record is from RNAcentral.
CUACGGGUGGCACCAGUGAGGAAUAUUGCACAAUGGGGGGAACCCUGAUGCAGCAACGCCGCGUGGAGGAUGACGCAUUUCGGCGUGUAAACUCCUUUUAUAUGUCAAGAAAAUGACGGUAGCAUAUGAAUAAGCACCGACUAACUCCGUGCCAGCAGCCGCGGUAAUACGGAGGGUGCAAGCGUUACUCGGAAUCACUGGGCGUAAAGGACGCGUAGGCGGGUUGGAAAGUCAGGUGUGAAAUCCUACAGCUUAACUGUAGAACUGCACUUGAAACUUCUAAUCUAGAGUAUGGGAGGGGGAGAUGGAAUUAGUGGUGUAGGGGUAAAAUCCGUAGAUAUCACUAGGAAUACCUAAAGCGAAGGCGAUCUCCUGGAACAUUACUGACGCUAAGGCGUGAAAGCGUGGGGAGCAAACAGGAUUAGAUUACCCCCGUAGUC